GGAGGUGCCAGAAAGCACCGAGAAACCUGUUCAGGAGUGGAUAGAAGAGCCUCCCAGCAGUGACAGGGAAUCCCUGGUGACAGUGACAACAAUGACAAGAAGGACAGAAACCACACCAUCAGUGAGGUGAGGAAACAGCUUCACAGAUAUUGUGCAAUUGACACCAGAGAAAACAAUUUCAAAGUUCUGUGAAACAGGAGCUCUUAUUUUCUGUACUGGAACACUUAAAGUUAAGGAAGUUCAAGACGGCAACAAAGCCAUGACCUGGACGUUAGAAUUAUCACGGCUCCUGUGCGGACAGGUGGAGUCCGGCAGCAUCUACCAUGGUUCCAGGCUGCCGUGUCCCCGAAACACCUCGUGAACUAUCUGUCCCCAAAGAGAUGCAGG
Molecule: long non-coding RNA, 387 nt
Organism: Mirounga angustirostris (Northern elephant seal)
Lineage: Eukaryota; Metazoa; Chordata; Mammalia; Carnivora; Phocidae
Exons: 3
Source: RefSeq, a predicted model, not a curated record